This 449-nucleotide ribosomal RNA is filed under the name uncultured Gammaproteobacteria bacterium. Its description in RNAcentral is "bacterial SSU rRNA". It matches the Rfam family "Bacterial small subunit ribosomal RNA", at positions 79 to 524 of the family's 1533-position model. Lineage: Bacteria; Pseudomonadati; Pseudomonadota; Gammaproteobacteria. The record is from RNAcentral.
CAAUACAUGCUGACGAGCGGCGAACGGGUGAGUAAUGCUUCGGAAUCUACCCAAUGGUGUGGAAUAACCAGCCGAAAGGUUGGCUAAUACCGCAUGAGCCCUACGGGGGAAAGCAGGGGAUCGCAAGACCUUGCGCCGAUGGAUGAGCCGAAGUCGGAUUAGCUAGUUGGUAGGGUAACGGCCUACCAAGGCGACGAUCCGUAGCUGGUCUGAGAGGACGACCAGCCACACUGGGACUGCGACACGGCCCAGACUCCUACGGGAGGCAGCAGUGGGGAAUAUUGGACAAUGGGGGCAACCCUGAUCCAGCGACGCCGCGUGUGUGAAGAAGGCCUGCGGGUUGUAAAGCACUUUUAGUGGGGAUGAAAAAUUCAGGGCUAAUAUCCCUGGGUCUUGACCUAACCCAAAGAAAAAGCACCGGCUAACUCUGUGCCAGCAGCCGCGGUAAU